This 406-nucleotide ribosomal RNA is filed under the name uncultured bacterium. Its description in RNAcentral is "partial 16S ribosomal RNA". It matches the Rfam family "Bacterial small subunit ribosomal RNA", at positions 29 to 526 of the family's 1533-position model. The record is from RNAcentral.
AUUGAACGCUGGCGGCGGGCCUAACACAUGCAAGUCGAGCGAGCGGCGGACGGGUGAGUAAUGUCUGGGAAACUGCCUGAUGGAGGGGGAUAACUACUGGAAAAGGUAGCUAAUACCGCAUACCAUCAGAUGUGCCCAGAUGGAAUUAGCUAGUAGGUGGGGUAACGGCUUACCUAGGCGACGAUCCCUAGCUGGUCUGAGAGGAUGACCGGCCAUCCGGGACCUGAGACACGGUCCAGACUCCGCCGGGAGGCAGCAGUGGGGAAUAUUCCGCAAUGGGGGCAAGCCUGAUGGAGCCAUGCCGCGUGUGUGAAGAAGGCCUUCGGGUGGUAAAGCACUUUGAGGGGGGAGGCGGUACCCGCUGAGGAAGCACCGGCUAACUCCGUGCCAGCAGCCGCGGUAAUUC